This 1044-nucleotide long non-coding RNA is filed under the name Numida meleagris (helmeted guineafowl). Its description in RNAcentral is "lncRNA (ENSNMEG00000017041.1)". The record is from RNAcentral. Lineage: Eukaryota; Metazoa; Chordata; Aves; Galliformes; Numididae.
CCUUGCUUCAGACCCAAGGAGAACCAGUAUCUCCCUGUCAGUACCCAUUGCCAGCUCUUCUGCUGCAGCAUGGGCAGCACUCGUCUUCCUCAUGUAGCACACGGGCUUCUCUGGUCCACAGCAUUGUGAUAACAGUCAUGCUGCAGCAAGCAAGCAAGCAAGAGACAUGAGGCACAGUACCCAGUUUGUUUUCCUUUCUCCCUGCUUAAAUUUUCUCAUCACCUUAUCUCCUCUGCCAGGUAAUUUGAGAUAAUCAGCAAAGCUUUUCUGCUGUUGUUGAUCUAUUCCAAUCUUUCUCAUGUCUUUUUUUUUUUUUUUUUUUUUUUGGCAAACAGUGCCCUGUCUCAUUUGCCUCAUUUCUUUUCAUGUAAUACUUUGAAGGGAGAAAGCUCUGUUCUUCCACGGCAGAGGAGUGAAAACUGGCUGUAACCACUGUCAGCGUCCACUGGCAUGUGCUGGAGAAGCAGAGCUACUGCCAGCCAUUGAAGAUUCAUGAUCCCAACUGAAUGGAAGGACCUUGAGUGUAGUCUAGGUGAGAAGAGAAAGAGACUGGCUGAUAGAGGACAAAUAUAGUUGACAACAGGCAUGCCGCACUGGAGACUGUAAUGGAAAAAGAGGCAGAGGAUGGAGUAGCAAAAUAAUCAACCAAUAUGGAGUGGUUAUAUUGCCAGCCCUUGGUCCCUGGUGCUAAAUCCGACCAUGAAGACUUGAACUCAGAGGACAUUCUGUGAAAAAGUCCACUGGCUGUCCUUCAUGCCAGGAUAGGUGUUACUUCCAGAAUCCAGCAAGAGAAGGCCUCAUUGAAGCCAAGGAGCCAGUCUCACACCUGUAUGGAGCUCAGCAUGGCUGGAGAAAGCCUGCCUCUGCAGAGGAUUGCCCUUCUAUUGACAGCAUGAUCCUGAGCAGACUUUCAUUGAAAAAGCUUGCUUACGUGCCAAGGAAUUAGAUACACCUCAGAAAAUUUUCCUGAUGCUGAAGCUGUUUGGCCUGCAAUGCCCUGAUGCCAUUUAACAACACACUCCUUUCCUCUGGAAAGGACUCCAG